RNAcentral lists this long non-coding RNA (694 nucleotides) under Ananas comosus (pineapple). RNAcentral describes it as "long non-coding RNA (ACOM_LNC024273)". Lineage: Eukaryota; Viridiplantae; Streptophyta; Magnoliopsida; Poales; Bromeliaceae. The record is from RNAcentral.
UAAAUACAUUUAGCAACAAUAAUUGUUGAUGCCAAAAAAUUAACAUGCCGACCUACCCCACGUAUGAACCAAAGAAAUAAGGACAUGUGGUACACCAAGAGUCGGCAAUAAGGCGCCUGAAGGUUGAGAGCAUUUAGGCGGAAAUGGUUAAGAAGUGGAGCGUAGCUUCCAUGAGAAGUGGGUGUAACUUCCACGAUCAUUGUUACAACCACUUCCCUCCACUACUUUCAACCAACCAAUAAUGUGGGUUGAUAUUACUAUAAAUAGUAAUUUCGAAGCCUGUAAUAAGGGUCUCUCUUCCCUGAACGAGAAGAUCACCAUAUUUUCAUAUCUUUCCUUUCCUGCAUUUACUGCUUUCCUCGGAGUAGUUUUUAAGAUAGAUCUCUGGAGUCUGUAUGCCCCACGGGCACACUCUGUUGUAAACUAUAUUUUCAUAGUCUGUAUGCCCUUCGGGCACACUCUGUUGUAAACUAUAUUUUCAGAGUCUGUAUGCCCUUCGGGUACACUCUGUUUUAUUAAUAUAUAAAAGUAUUCGGCUCUUUCAGCCGACCACACUUUGUGUUUUCAUCCAUUCGGCUCUUUCAGCCGACCCUAGUUUCUGUGCAUUCUAUACAUUCAGCUCAUCCAGCCGAACCGAUUCUACAAUAGAGGUUUCGAACCCGGCUGAUCCGAUCCCUCAUCAGUCGAAUCGUUU